GGGUGAUUAGCUCAGCUGGGAGAGCACCUCCCUUACAAGGAAGGGGUCGGCGGUUCGAUCCCGUCAUCACCCACCA
This 76-nucleotide transfer RNA is filed under the name Escherichia coli. RNAcentral describes it as "tRNA-Val". It matches the Rfam family "tRNA". From Rfam's summary of the family: Transfer RNA (tRNA) molecules are approximately 80 nucleotides in length. Their secondary structure includes four short double-helical elements and three loops (D, anti-codon, and T loops). The record is from RNAcentral. RNAcentral also lists the same sequence under 4 other names. Lineage: Bacteria; Pseudomonadati; Pseudomonadota; Gammaproteobacteria; Enterobacterales; Enterobacteriaceae.